This 508-nucleotide ribosomal RNA is filed under the name uncultured bacterium. Its description in RNAcentral is "partial 16S ribosomal RNA". It matches the Rfam family "Bacterial small subunit ribosomal RNA", at positions 29 to 523 of the family's 1533-position model. The record is from RNAcentral.
AUUGAACGCUGGCGGCAUGUCUUACACAUGGAAGUCGAACGGCAGCGGGGGAGAAGCUUGCUUUUCCUGCCGGCGAGUGGCGAACGGGUGAGUAAUACAUCGGAACGUGCCCUGUAGUGGGGGAUAACUAGUCGAAAGAUUAGCUAAUACCGCAUACGACCUGAGGGGGAAAGUGGGGGACCGCAAGGCCUCAUGCUAUAGGAGCGGCCGAUGUCUGAUGAGCUAGUUGGUGGGGUAAAGGCCUACCAAGGCGACGAGUGGUAGCUGGUCGGGGAGGACGGUCAGCCACACUGGGACUGAGACACGCCGCAGACUCCUACGGGAGGCAGCAGUGGGGAAUUUUGGACAAUGGGCGAAAGCCUGAUCCAGCAAUGCCGCGUGUGUGAAGGAGGCCUUCGGGUUGGAAAGCACUUUUGUCCGGAAAGAAAUGGCUCUGGUUAAUACCUGGGGUCGAUGACGGUACCGGAAGAAUAAGGACCGGCUAACUACGUGCCAGCCGCCGCCGUAA